This 253-nucleotide ribosomal RNA is filed under the name uncultured bacterium. RNAcentral describes it as "partial 16S ribosomal RNA". It matches the Rfam family "Bacterial small subunit ribosomal RNA", at positions 524 to 776 of the family's 1533-position model. The record is from RNAcentral.
UACGUAGGGGGCUAGCGUUGUCCGGAAUCAUUGGGCGUAAAGCGCGUGUAGGCGGCCCGGUAAGUCCGCUGUGAAAGUCGGGGGCUCAACCCUCGGAUGCCGGUGGAUACUGUCGGGCUAGAGUGCGGAAGAGGCGAGUGGAAUUCCCGGUGUAGCGGUGAAAUGCGCAGAUAUCGGGAGGAACACCAAUGGCGAAGGCAGCUCGCUGGGACGUGACUGACGCUGAGACGCGAAAGCGUGGGGAGCAAACAGG